Molecule: ribosomal RNA, 441 nt
Filed under: uncultured bacterium
Lineage: Bacteria
Description: bacterial SSU rRNA
Rfam family: Bacterial small subunit ribosomal RNA
Source: RNAcentral
AACGCGAAGAACCUUACCCAGGCUUGACAUGCACUAGACAGCGCCAGAGAUGGCGUCUCCCUUCGGGGCUGGUGCACAGGUGCUGCAUGGCUGUCGUCAGCUCGUGCCGUGAGGUGUUGGGUUAAGUCCCGCAACGAGCGCAACCCUUAUCAUUAGUUGCCAACACGUGAAGGUGGGAACUCUAAUGAGACUGCCCGGGUUAACCGGGAGGAAGGUGAGGAUGACGUCAAGUCCGCAUGGCCCUUAUGUCUGGGGCUACACACGUGCUACAAUGGCCGGUACAACAGGCAGCGAAACUGUGAAGUGAAGCAAAUCCCGAAAGCCGGCCCCAGUUCAGAUUGUAGUCUGCAACUCGGCUACAUGAAGAUGGAAUUGCUAGUAAUGGCGAGUCAGCAACAUCGCCGUGAAUACGUUCCCGGGCCUUGUACACACCGAGACGUA